AGGAUAUUAGUUAAUAUAAUAUAUAACAUUAAAAUUGCAAUUUAAAAUUAAAAUUUAAUUAUAUCUUU
This 68-nucleotide transfer RNA is filed under the name Lasioglossum sp. SJW-2017. Its description in RNAcentral is "tRNA-Ala". Lineage: Eukaryota; Metazoa; Arthropoda; Insecta; Hymenoptera; Halictidae. The record is from RNAcentral.